RNAcentral lists this ribosomal RNA (327 nucleotides) under uncultured eukaryote. Its description in RNAcentral is "partial 18S ribosomal RNA". It matches the Rfam family "Eukaryotic small subunit ribosomal RNA", at positions 1470 to 1796 of the family's 1831-position model. The record is from RNAcentral.
CCCUUAGAUGUUCUGGGCCGCACACGCGCUACACUGAAGGAGGCAGCGUGUACUCCUGGAUCGAAAGAUUUGGGUAACCCGCGAAUCUCCUUCGUGCUAGGGAUUGAGGUUUGCAAUUAUCCUUCAUGAACGAGGAAUUCCCAGUAAGUGCAAGUCAUAAGCUUGCGCUGACUACGUCCCUGCCCUUUGUACAUACCGCCCGUCGCUACUACCGAUUGAAUGAUUUAGUGAGGACUUCGGACUGGGACCGAUGCGGCUUUCGGGCUGCGUCGGUAUUCUGGAAAGAUGUCCAAACUGUAUCAUUUAGAGGAAGUAAAAGUCGUANCA